UGGCAAUGAAUGCUCCGAAGCCAACA
RNAcentral lists this non-coding RNA (26 nucleotides) under Mus musculus (house mouse). The record is from RNAcentral. Lineage: Eukaryota; Metazoa; Chordata; Mammalia; Rodentia; Muridae.